Molecule: ribosomal RNA, 575 nt
Filed under: Salmonella enterica subsp. enterica serovar Muenchen
Lineage: Bacteria; Pseudomonadati; Pseudomonadota; Gammaproteobacteria; Enterobacterales; Enterobacteriaceae
Also listed under: 15 other names
Description: partial 23S ribosomal RNA
Rfam family: Bacterial large subunit ribosomal RNA
Source: RNAcentral
UGGACCCGUAAUCCGGGUUGCGGACAGUGUCUGGUGGGUAGUUUGACUGGGGCGGUCUCCUCCUAAAGAGUAACGGAGGAGCACGAAGGUUGGCUAAUCCUGGUCGGACAUCAGGAGGUUAGUGCAAUGGCAUAAGCCAGCUUGACUGCGAGCGUGACGGCGCGAGCAGGUGCGAAAGCAGGUCAUAGUGAUCCGGUGGUUCUGAAUGGAAGGGCCAUCGCUCAACGGAUAAAAGGUACUCCGGGGAUAACAGGCUGAUACCGCCCAAGAGUUCAUAUCGACGGCGGUGUUUGGCACCUCGAUGUCGGCUCAUCACAUCCUGGGGCUGAAGUAGGUCCCAAGGGUAUGGCUGUUCGCCAUUUAAAGUGGUACGCGAGCUGGGUUUAGAACGUCGUGAGACAGUUCGGUCCCUAUCUGCCGUGGGCGCUGGAGAACUGAGGGGGGCUGCUCCUAGUACGAGAGGACCGGAGUGGACGCAUCACUGGUGUUCGGGUUGUCAUGCCAAUGGCACUGCCCGGUAGCUAAAUGCGGAAGAGAUAAGUGCUGAAAGCAUCUAAGCACGAAACUUGCCCCGA